AUGGAAAAACCGGUUAGUCCAGUAGGUAGAUUGAAAAAUGCUAUCGAUGAAUGGAGAUUAAUCACAGGUGAUACAUAUAAUUGAUGUUAUACAAAACGGGUAUAAGAUACCUUUCAGAACAGAACCAGAUCAUAAAAUUAUUAGAAAUAACAGAUCAUCUCUUGAUAACGCAAGUUUUGUUAAGUCAGAAAUUGAAACUUUGCUGUCAAAAGGUUGUAUAUCAGAGGGAAAUGAGAUACCUUGUGUAGUUAAUCCUUUGACCGUUGCUUUUAAUAAAUCGAGCAAACCCAGGUUGGUAUUGGAUUGUAGACACAUCAAUCCUCAUUUAUUUAAAUUUAGAUUUAAAUAUGAAGACACAAAGUUAGCAAGGGAAAUUUUUCACCAACAUGAUUUUCUAUAUGGCUAUGAUUUAAAAAGUGCUUAUCACCAUAUUGAGAUUGUUGAAUUGCACAGAGAAUAUUUAGGUUUUGCAUGGGAGAUAGAUGGUGCAAACAGAUAUUUCGUUUUUAAUGUCUUGCCAUUCGGAUUGGCUACUGCUGGUUACAUAUUUACCAAAGUUCUCAGAGAAGUUGUAAAGUAUUUCAGAUCUAAAGGCACACAAAUUAUUAUGUUUUUAGAUGAUGGUUUGGGAGGUGGUAAAGAUUUUGAAUCUUGUCAAAAAAGUAGUCAGUUUGUAAAAUUUCAACUUCAAAAGCUAGGUUUUCUAAUUGCACAUGAAAAAUGUGUUUGGGAUCCAUGCCAAAAAUUGAAAUGGUUAGGUUUCAUUUGGAAUACUGAAACUGGUAGAAUAUCUGUCAGUCCUGAGAGAAUAGAUAAAGCAGAGCAAACUGUAAACUAUAUACUUUCCGAGAUUGGGAGAGGUAAAGUUUUGUUAAAGGCUCGAAUUUUAGCGGGCAUAGUCGGUCAACUCAUAUCAAUGCAAAUAGUAUUUGGUGAUCUCGUGAGAUUGAGAACAAGAUUUUUAUAUGCUUGUGUUAACGGUAGAGCAAGCUGGGAGGCAUCUGUAAAAAUUACAUCAGAAGCUAUUGAUGAGUUAGAAUUUUGGAGAGUUUCUUGCAGAGCAAGGAAUAGUAAAGGUGUGAAUAUAAGCACAGUUAAUUUUCACGACAAUUUUGAUGUCGAUUUGUUUUGUGAUGCCUCAGAUGUAGGCUUUGGUGGUUUUUGUUCCACUUAUGAUCGUACCGAAGUAUUCGGUAACUGGGUAGGUAAUGAACCUUUUGAGAGUUCAACUUGGCGUGAACUUGAAUGCGUCAAGAGAAUUUUGUAUACUCAAGAUUCGUUGUUGGAGAACAAAUUAGUUCGAGUCAACAGUGACAAUCAAAAUGUUGCACGUAUUUUGACGGUGGGGAGCAGAAAUUUGUCACUACAAAAAACUGCGAUUAAUAUUUUAGAAUCUUGUGAUCAAAAAACAUUAAUAUUCAGACUCGCUGGGUCCCUCGGGCUCAGAAUGUGUAUAUGCAGAUCAACUUAGUCGUUAUACAGAUCACGAUGACUGGUCUUUAAACGAUGAAACAUUCAGUUUCUUAAACAAUAUUUGGGGUCCGUGUAGCAUAGACCGAUUUGCCACUCAUUACAAUACACAUUGUUCGCGUUUCAAUUCAGUUAUAUGGUGCCCAGGAACUGAAGCAGUUGACAGUUUUAGUCAAUAUUGGGGAAAUGACAACAAUUGGUUGGUACCCCCACCUUCUUUGAUUGCAAAAACAGUAAACAAAAUGUGCAAUGAGCGUGCUAAUGGUAUUUUGGUUAUACCAGAAUGGAAAUCGGCGCAUUUUGGCCUUUACUUUGUGCACAAGAAAUUUUUAAGAGUUUUGUUUCAGACGCUAUUUAUCUUACAAAUGACAAAGUUAUAGUGAAGGGUGCCGGUAAAAACGGCAUUUUCGGGAAAAUGGCCACUUAAAUUUAGGUUGAUAGCUUUAAAUAUUAUGUUCUAAUGAUCCAUAUUUGCGAUUUUCAGGCUUAGGACUGAGGCAACAUGUUGUGGAGAUUGUAGAGAAGAGUACUGUAGGAUGUUCGGGUGAACUUGGAAAAUUAGCAGAAAAGAUGUCGGUUUAUCUUAUCCAGUCUAAAAGUGACAAUACUACAAAAAAGUACUUUGCUAGUUAUAAUCGUUGGAGAUCUUUUGCUCAAGGAUAUGGUUUUAACGAAUUACCAGCAGAUCCGAUUCAUGUUUCAUUGUUUUUAACUUUAUUGAUUGACAAGAAGUCAUCACCUUGUACUUUAGAUUCGAUAAUAUAUGCUUUAAAGUGGGUACAUGAGCUUUAUGGUUACGUUGAUCCUACAAAUAACGCUUACAUUCAUUCGUUAGCUCAAUCAUGUAAAAGAUUAAAUGGAAAACCAGUCGUAAAGAAGGACCCUGUUACCUCGGAUAUAAUACUUGAACUCUGUAAAAUUAAUGAAUUUGAAAAUGACUUGCUUAUUGUUAGAGAUUUGACUAUGAUUUUGAUAGGCUAUGCUGGAUUUUUGCGCUAUGACGAAUUAAGUUCUAUUACAUGUAGGGAUGUUAAGAUUUUUGAUGAUCAUAUUUCUAUUUUUCUGCCCCGGUCCAAGACCGAUCAAUACAGACAAGGUAACGAGAUACUUAUUUCUAGUGGUAACACUUUGGCAUGUCCAGUUGUUAUGUAUAAGCGAUACAUUUCACUUGCUAUUUUGGAUGUUAAUUCGGAUUAUUCUAUAUUUCGACCGAUUUUUAGGUCUAAGGGGUUAGCUAAGUUGAUAUAUAAGAAUAAGAAGUUAAGCUAUGCAGCCACAAAAGGAGAAUAUUGUACGUAG
This 2769-nucleotide small RNA is filed under the name Mytilus galloprovincialis (Mediterranean mussel). The record is from RNAcentral. Lineage: Eukaryota; Metazoa; Mollusca; Bivalvia; Mytilida; Mytilidae.